UGGGGAAUUUUGGACAAUGGGGGAAACCCUGAUCCAGCCAUCCCGCGUGUACGAUGAAGGCCUUCGGGUUGUAAAGCACUUUUGGCAGGAAAGAAACGUCAUGGGUUAAUACCCCGUGAAACUGACGGUACCUGCAGAAUAAGCACCGGCUAACUACGUGCCAGCAGCCGCGGUAAUACGUAGGGUGCAAGCGUUAAUCGGAAUUACUGGGCGUAAAGCGUGCGCAGGCGGUUCGGAAAGAAAGAUGUGAAAUCCCAGAGCUCAACUUUGGAACUACAUUUUUAACUACCGGGCUAGAGUGUGUCAGAGGGAGGUGGAAUUCCGCGUGUAGCAGUGAAAUGCGUAGGUAUGCGGAGGAACACCGAUGGCGAAGGCAGCCUCCUGGGAUAACACUGACGCUCAUGCACGAAAGCGUGGGGAGCAAACAGG
This 429-nucleotide ribosomal RNA is filed under the name Acidobacteriota bacterium. RNAcentral describes it as "Acidobacteria bacterium partial 16S ribosomal RNA". It matches the Rfam family "Bacterial small subunit ribosomal RNA", at positions 355 to 776 of the family's 1533-position model. Lineage: Bacteria; Pseudomonadati; Acidobacteriota. The record is from RNAcentral.